CACUAAGAAGCUAACCUGGACCUCAGCGUCAGCCUUUUAAGCUGAAGAUUGGUGCCUUCCAACCACCCUUAGUGA
Molecule: transfer RNA, 75 nt
Filed under: Hemigobius hoevenii
Lineage: Eukaryota; Metazoa; Chordata; Actinopteri; Gobiiformes; Gobiidae
Description: tRNA-Lys
Source: RNAcentral